AGUGAACGCUGGCGGUAGGCCUAACACAUGCAAGUCGAACGGCAGCACAGUAAGAGCUUGCUCUUACGGGUGGCGAGUGGCGGACGGGGGAGGAAUACAUCGGAAUCUACUUUUUCGUGGGGGAUAACGUAGGGAAACUUACGCUAAUACCGCAUACGACCUCCGGGUGAAAGCAGGGGAUCUUCUGACCUUGCGCGAUUGAAUGAGCCGAUGUCGGAUUAGCUAGUUGGCGGGGUAAAGGCCUACCAAGGCGACGAUCGGUAGCUGGUCUGAGAGGAUGAUCAGCCAGACUGGAACUGAGAAACGGCCCAGACUCUUACAGGAGGCAGCAGUGGGGAAUAUUGGACAAUGGGCGCAAGCCUGAUCCAGGCAUACCGCGUGGGUGAAGAAGGCCUUCGGGUUCGAAAGCCCUUUUGUUGGGAAAGAAAAGCAGCAGGUUAAUACCCCGCUGUUCUGACGGUACCCAAAGAAUAAGCACCGGCUAACUUCGUG
RNAcentral lists this ribosomal RNA (492 nucleotides) under uncultured bacterium. RNAcentral's name for it is "partial 16S ribosomal RNA". It matches the Rfam family "Bacterial small subunit ribosomal RNA", at positions 29 to 507 of the family's 1533-position model. The record is from RNAcentral.